GGUUGCGAUCAUACCAGCACUAAUGGACCGGAUCCCAUCAGAACUCCGCAGUUAAACGUGCUUGGGCGAGAGUAGUACUAGGAUGGGUGACCCCCUGGGAAGUCCUCGUGUUGCAACCC
RNAcentral lists this ribosomal RNA (119 nucleotides) under Helianthus annuus (common sunflower). The record is from RNAcentral. Lineage: Eukaryota; Viridiplantae; Streptophyta; Magnoliopsida; Asterales; Asteraceae.